UUUCCGUAGGUGAACCUGCGGAAGGAUCAUUAAUAAACUAGUCGUUCGUGUAGGGGCAACCUGAUCAUCACGAUGUAAGCUCACUAGUCACCCUUGAAUAUCAUACCUUUGUUGCUUUGGCGGGCCGCCCUCGUGGCCAGCGGCUCCGGCUGCUGCGUGCCCGCCAGAGGACCCCAACUCUUGUUUUUAGUGAUGUCUGAGUACUAUAUAAUAGUUAAAACUUUCAACAACGGAUCUCUUGGUUCUGGCAUCGAUGAAGAACGCAGCGAAAUGCGAUAAGUAAUGUGAAUUGCAGAAUUCAGUGAAUCAUCGAAUCUUUGAACGCACAUUGCGCCCUUUGGUAUUCCGAAGGGCAUGCCUGUUCGAGCGUCAUUAUAACCACUCAAGCCUUCGCUUGGUAUUGGGGUUCGCGGUCUCGCGGCCCCUAAAAUCAGUGGCGGUGCCUGUCGGCUCUACGCGUAGUAAUACUCCUCGCGAUUGAGUCCGGUGGGUAGCUUGCCAACAACCCCCAAAUUUUUACAGGUUGACCUCGGAUCAGGUAGGGAUACCCGCUGAACUUAA
RNAcentral lists this ribosomal RNA (561 nucleotides) under Hymenella cerealis. RNAcentral's name for it is "eukaryotic LSU rRNA". The stretch from base 219 to 372 matches the Rfam family "5.8S ribosomal RNA". Lineage: Eukaryota; Fungi; Ascomycota. The record is from RNAcentral.